GAACUGCGAUAAGUAAUGUGAAUUGCAGAAUUCAGUGAAUCAUCGAGUCUUUGAACGCACAUUGCGCCCCCUGGCAUUCCGGGGGGCAUGCCUGUCCGAGCGUCAUUGCUGCCCUUCAAGCCCGGCUUGUGUGUUGGGUCGUCGUCCCCUCCGGGGGACUGGCCCGAAAGGCAGCGGCGGCACCGCGUCCGGUCCUCGAGCGUAUGGGGCUUUGUCACCCGCUCGAUAAGGACCGGCCAGGCGCCAGCCGGCGUCUCCAACCUUUUUUUCUCAGGUUGACCUCGGAUCAGGUAGGGAUACCCGCUGAACUUAAGC
RNAcentral lists this unclassified non-coding RNA (315 nucleotides) under plant metagenome. RNAcentral describes it as "partial contains 5.8S ribosomal RNA, internal transcribed spacer 2, and large subunit ribosomal RNA". The stretch from base 1 to 105 matches the Rfam family "5.8S ribosomal RNA", at positions 50 to 154 of the family's 154-position model. The record is from RNAcentral.